ACCUGGCUGGCUCAGUUGGAAGAGUGUGUGACUCUUGAUCUCAGAGUUAUGAGUUCGAACUCUGUGUUAGGUG
Molecule: transfer RNA, 73 nt
Filed under: Canis lupus familiaris (dog)
Lineage: Eukaryota; Metazoa; Chordata; Mammalia; Carnivora; Canidae
Also listed under: 1 other name
Rfam family: tRNA
About the family: Transfer RNA (tRNA) molecules are approximately 80 nucleotides in length.
Source: Rfam by way of RNAcentral